Molecule: non-coding RNA, 96 nt
Organism: Crenichthys baileyi (White River springfish)
Lineage: Eukaryota; Metazoa; Chordata; Actinopteri; Cyprinodontiformes; Goodeidae
Source: the annotation of a GenBank genome assembly
GCUCAGUGCUGGUGGUGUAGGGGUUUAGCAUGCGACCACAUAUAGAGGCUAUAGUCCUCAAAGCGGCUGUCCUGGAUUCGAGUCCCAGACUUGGCG